GAUGAACGCUGGCGGCGUGCUAACACAUGCAAGUCGAACGGUGAAGCAGGAGCUUGCUCUUGUGGAUCAGUGGCGAACGGGUGAGUAACACGUGAGCAACCUGCCCCUGACUCUGGGAUAAGCGCUGGAAACGGCGUCUAAUACUGGAUAUGUGAUGUGACCGCAUGGUCUGCAUCUGGAAAGAAUUUCGGUUGGGGAUGGGCUCGCGGCCUAUCAGCUUGUUGGUGAGGUAAUGGCUCACCAAGGCGUCGACGGGUAGCCGGCCUGAGAGGGGGACCGGCCACACUGGGACUGAGACAGGGCCCAGAAUCGUACGGGAGGCAGCAGUGGGGAAUAUUGCACAACGGGCGGAAGCCUGAUGCGGCAACGCCGCGUGAGGGAUGACGGCCUUCGAGUUGUAAACCACUUUUAGCGGGGAAGAAGCGAAAGUGACGGUACCUGCAGAAAAAGCACCGGCUAACUACGUGCCAGCCGCCGCCGUAA
Molecule: ribosomal RNA, 483 nt
Filed under: uncultured bacterium
Lineage: Bacteria
Description: partial 16S ribosomal RNA
Rfam family: Bacterial small subunit ribosomal RNA
Source: RNAcentral